Molecule: ribosomal RNA, 637 nt
Filed under: uncultured bacterium
Lineage: Bacteria
Description: bacterial SSU rRNA
Rfam family: Bacterial small subunit ribosomal RNA
Source: RNAcentral
GUGGCGGACGGGUGAGUAACGCGUGGGUAACCUGCCCUUUUGUGGGGAACAACUUCGAGAAAUCGGAGCUAAUACCGCAUAAUAAUAGAGAAUCGCAUGAUUCUUUAAGGAAAGAUGGCCUCUGAGAAUGCUAUCGCAAAAGGAUGGACCCGCGUCUGAUUAGCUAGUUGGAAGGGUAACGGCCUACCAAGGCAACGAUCAGUAGCCGGCCUGAGAGGGUGAACGGCCACAUUGGGACUGAGACACGGCCCAAACUCCUACGGGAGGCAGCAGUGGGGAAUCUUCCGCAAUGGGCGAAAGCCUGACGGAGCAAUGCCGCGUGAGUGAAGAAGGCCUUCGGGUUGUAAAACUCUGUCCUUAUCGAAGAGAGGUGGGUAUGUGAAUAAUGUACCUAUAGGACGGUAGAUAAGGAGGAAGCCCCGGCUAACUACGUGCCAGCAGCCGCGGUAAUACGUAGGGGGCGAGCGUUGUCCGGAAUCACUGGGCGUAAAGGGCGCGUAGGCGGUUUAAUAAGUCAGUGGUGAAAACUGAGGGCUCAACCCUCAGCCUGCCACUGAUACUGUUAGACUUGAGUAUGGAAGAGGAGAAUGGAAUUCCUAGUGUAGCGGUGAAAUGCGUAGAUAUUAGGAGGAACACC